AGCCGCCGCCGCCCCGGCGCAACUCAUUGCCGGAACUAAAAAAAGCAACCACUUCGUUGAACGGAACUGGCCAAUAGUGCCCUUGGCUCGGACUGAUGACGCACAGCAGACGAAAAAGCAAAGAGGAACUUUACAAACUAUUACAGUUUUCCAUCAUCACUUGACUGCUGACAAGAAGCCUCUUUGAAUUCCAGUAUACACGAUCACAUUUUAAAACCUUCAAGACGCCGUUUAAUCAGGAGUUGUAAGGCACAUUUGUUAGAGAGAGCUGCACUUUAAAAGUUAUACAGACAUCACCUGAAGUUAUUAAAGUUAUCAAAACAUAUUAAAAACCUUCAAGUAAGAGGCUACUCCCCAGGAAACGUGUGGAGCCAGUGAACGGAAGAAAAACAAUGGAAGGAAGGCUUGAAAAGUCCAUUACAAAACUACAGUCCUUUGAAAAAGAUUUCAAAGAUAUUAAAAUGAAAACUGAUUACAUUAAACAAUAA
This 488-nucleotide long non-coding RNA is filed under the name Homo sapiens (human). RNAcentral's name for it is "non-protein coding lnc-SMG1-5:9". Lineage: Eukaryota; Metazoa; Chordata; Mammalia; Primates; Hominidae. The record is from RNAcentral.